AUAAAUUCAGGGCGCUGUGAACAUAUCUGUGUAGAGAUUAGAUGUCAAAUGCAUGCACGGUGAGAUUUUAACAUUACAUGUGAAAUAUGGUCGGUUUCUUCUGGCUAGAAUCUCGAGGGCUUGGGCAUGUUCUCGACGAUAGGUCUAUCACAAUCCACAAGCUUGUUCCCAAGAUAAGUGCGAACCAGGGUAAGACAAAAGAACAAUCAUCGAGAGCCAUCCACAAGAGUCGACAUGGUUGUGCGGUUAAGCCAAUCCAGCAGAUUUUCAUGGCUAAUCUCAAGGAGUCAGCGUCAAGGUUUGGACCACUGUCAUUGGGGCAAUCAUUCCCUUCCUUCGUGUCUUCUCUGUUCCCUUUUGUUUUUAUUGUGGGGGGCAAUUUGAACCAAGCAACUUCGAUUAUCUACAUUGCCCGAUUUUCUGCCGUAACUUAUUUCUCUAUUUUUCGUGGCUAUAUCCGAUUAUAUUUCUUAUUUUUGGUGUUAGACUAAGCCGUUUUCUUGAUUUUCUAGGUCAUCCAAUGUGAUUGCGGAAGCUAAUGAUUUGAAGGAUUGUUCUAACUCAAGGCUCAGAUAUUCGCAAGUAACUUUCCCUAUUUGAUUUGAUUUGAUACUCGGUAUUGUCAUGAUAGCUUCUUGGCCGUCGGAUUCGACUAAUGAAUUUUUAAGUGGUUUUAUCCGAUUGUGUUUGUGGGAAUAUUGCUGGUAUUUGCUGUUGGG
RNAcentral lists this long non-coding RNA (719 nucleotides) under Eucalyptus grandis. Its description in RNAcentral is "long non-coding RNA (EGRA_LNC002259)". Lineage: Eukaryota; Viridiplantae; Streptophyta; Magnoliopsida; Myrtales; Myrtaceae. The record is from RNAcentral.